Molecule: long non-coding RNA, 454 nt
Organism: Musa acuminata AAA Group (dessert banana)
Lineage: Eukaryota; Viridiplantae; Streptophyta; Magnoliopsida; Zingiberales; Musaceae
Exons: 3
Source: RefSeq, a predicted model, not a curated record
AUCCUUUCUUAUGCUAUCGUUUUCUUUGAAUUAUCAUGUGCUGAUAUAGUUUCUAACGCAUCAACUUUUUCUUUGCUGCAGGAAUGCGGUGUACUUUGACGUGGUUGCCGUCAUUGUUUGCCUCCUCCUGUAGCGGAAGGAUCAAUCUGGUUGGCAUUCAUGUGAAGAGGACGACAACUGAGAAAUCUGCCUCUGGUAUCUCCCUGUUACAAGCUUCGGCUCCAAGUAAUCUAAGGGCUGGUAUUUCUUCGCUAAGCUUACUGUCUUUCCAUCGGUGACUCCAUCCAAGCGCUUAAGAAAUAUUCGUCGUCAUGCUACGUGAGGUAGGGAAAUUUUUUUUAUAUAAUAAAGAAUUAAAAAAAUGGACAGAUUUCCUAAUUUAUUGAUUUAAAGUGUUAGUUAAUUAAUAGGAUUAUAAAAUAAUAUUAUUAUUUAUUGAUUCAUUUUUAAUCUA